ACGGAGUAUCCCCGAAAAUCCGGAAUAGAGUAGGGA
RNAcentral lists this non-coding RNA (36 nucleotides) under unclassified sequences. Its description in RNAcentral is "DUF805b RNA". It matches the Rfam family "DUF805b RNA". From Rfam's summary of the family: Bacteroidetes, Chlorobi (1 example), Proteobacteria. The record is from RNAcentral.